RNAcentral lists this non-coding RNA (46 nucleotides) under Schistosoma haematobium. Lineage: Eukaryota; Metazoa; Platyhelminthes; Trematoda; Strigeidida; Schistosomatidae. The record is from RNAcentral.
GCACUGCUGAAGAGUCCCAUACUAGGACGAAACGGCCGUCUGGUGC